Molecule: ribosomal RNA, 465 nt
Filed under: uncultured bacterium
Lineage: Bacteria
Description: bacterial SSU rRNA
Rfam family: Bacterial small subunit ribosomal RNA
Source: RNAcentral
CCUACGGGCGGCACCAGUGGGGAAUAUUGGACAAUGGGCGAAAGCCUGAUCCAGCGACGCCGCGUGUGUGAAGAAGGCCUGCGGGUUGUAAAGCACUUUCGAUGGGAACGAAAUGUGCCGGGCUAAUACCCCGGCAAGCUGACGUUACUCAAUGAAGAAGCACCGGCCAACUCUGUGCCAGCAGCCGCGGUAAUACAGAGGGUGCGAGCGUUAAUCGGAAUUACUGGGCGUAAAGCGCACGUAGGUGGCGACGUAAGUCGGGUGUGAAAGCCCCGGGCUCAACCUGGGAAUUGCAUUCGAGACUGCAUCGCUGGAGUACGGAGGAGGAAGGCGGAAUUCCCGGUGUAGCGGUGAAAUGCGUAGAUAUCGGGAGGAACAUCAGUGGCGAAGGCGGCCUUCUGGUCCAGUACUGACACUCAAGUGCGAAAGCGUGGGGAGCAAACAGGAUUAGAUACCCGUGUAGUC